RNAcentral lists this ribosomal RNA (527 nucleotides) under Bacillus sp. KB1.2 R. RNAcentral describes it as "bacterial SSU rRNA". It matches the Rfam family "Bacterial small subunit ribosomal RNA", at positions 199 to 710 of the family's 1533-position model. The record is from RNAcentral. Lineage: Bacteria; Bacillati; Bacillota; Bacilli; Caryophanales; Bacillaceae.
AUUGAAAGGCGGCUUCGGCUGUCACUUAUGGACGGACCCGCGUCGCAUUAGCUAGUUGGUGAGGUAACGGCUCACCAAGGCAACGAUGCGUAGCCGACCUGAGAGGGUGAUCGGCCACACUGGGACUGAGACACGGCCCAGACUCCUACGGGAGGCAGCAGUAGGGAAUCUUCCGCAAUGGACGAAAGUCUGACGGAGCAACGCCGCGUGAGUGAUGAAGGCUUUCGGGUCGUAAAACUCUGUUGUUAGGGAAGAACAAGUGCUAGUUGAAUAAGCUGGCACCUUGACGGUACCUAACCAGAAAGCCACGGCUAACUACGUGCCAGCAGCCGCGGUAAUACGUAGGUGGCAAGCGUUAUCCGGAAUUAUUGGGCGUAAAGCGCGCGCAGGUGGUUUCUUAAGUCUGAUGUGAAAGCCCACGGCUCAACCGUGGAGGGUCAUUGGAAACUGGGAGACUUGAGUGCAGAAGAGGAAAGUGGAAUUCCAUGUGUAGCGGGUGAAAAUGCGUAGAGAUAUGGAGGAACACC